UAUAUUCAAUUUGAGAUCCUGGUUAAAAAAAGGGGGUUUUAGUAGGCUAGGUUUUUUUUCAUCGGUAUAUUUACGGUAUUUCUGAAGGUCAGGCGGCCACACUGCUUCACUCCUGCGACGAUAAAAAGAGUCGUAAUUUUGAAUGGUCAAUAAAAAAGUGUAUGGACAACAGGCAAAAACAGCCAAGGCAAAUUGUAAGGUUCGUUAUAGGCUAUUCAUACUGACGACAAUAUCCAUCAUCCAUUUUGGAUGUUCCUAAACCGCAUAUUUCUAUGCGAUAGUUAGCCGAUGGUUUUCAAAUGCAACCCUGAAAGCACUGAAUGGUAAUAAAAAAUAGUUUGCGCCUAGAUAUAUAUUUAUCAUAUCAUAAUAUGAAUUUUAAAUCGUUGUGGACUAAUAAAAAAAAAUUCAACUGACACAAUACCAAAUGGAAUGGCCAGUAAUGCCAUUAAAAAAAAACAAACAAUACACGCAUGUCAAAUAGGAAAGCUUAGAUGGAAAAUCUCGCUAUGAACAUUUCGCAUGAUAGUACUGCGGAUGUAGCUGGAAAAUCUUCUGGAGAUUUUUCGGAAAAUGCUGGAAGUCCAGAAGGAGGAGGAGCACCAGAAUGCGAAGCAGCCAGGGCCAAACCAACUUCCAAGGAGAGCUUCUGCAAUUUUCACGGAAGUCCAAAGAGCAACGUUUAUUGUAUGUAUAUGGAUUGUUUCAUUAUAGCCAAUAAAAUAUAAAAUUAACUAAUUUAAAA
Molecule: long non-coding RNA, 745 nt
Organism: Drosophila pseudoobscura
Lineage: Eukaryota; Metazoa; Arthropoda; Insecta; Diptera; Drosophilidae
Exons: 2
Source: RefSeq, a predicted model, not a curated record